GGGCCACGGGGGGCUUACGGGAGGCCAGCAGUGGGGAAUUUUCCGCAAUGGGCGAAAGCCUGACGGAGCAACGCCGCGUGAGGGAUGAAGGCCUCUGGGCUGUAAACCUCUUUUAUCAAGGAAGAAGAUCUGACGGUACUUGAUGAAUAAGCCACGGCUAAUUCCGUGCCAGCAGCCGCGGUAAUACGGGAGUGGCAAGCGUUAUCCGGAAUUAUUGGGCGUAAAGCGUCCGCAGGCGGCCCUUCAAGUCUGCUGUUAAAAAGUGGAGCUUAACUCCAUCAUGGCAGUGGAAACUGUUGGGCUUGAGUGUGGUAGGGGCAGAGGGAAUUCCCGGUGUAGCGGUGAAAUGCGUAGAUAUCGGGAAGAACACCAGUGGCGAAGGCGCUCUGCUGGGCCAUCACUGACGCUCAUGGACGAAAGCCAGGGGAGCGAAAGGGAUUAGAUACCCCUGUAGUCCUGGCCGUAAACGAUGAACACUAGGUGUCGGGGGAAUCGACCCCCUCGGUGUCGUAGCCAACGCGUUAAGUGUUCCGCCUGGGG
RNAcentral lists this ribosomal RNA (540 nucleotides) under uncultured Synechococcus sp. RNAcentral describes it as "bacterial SSU rRNA". It matches the Rfam family "Bacterial small subunit ribosomal RNA", at positions 321 to 878 of the family's 1533-position model. Lineage: Bacteria; Bacillati; Cyanobacteriota; Cyanophyceae; Synechococcales; Synechococcaceae. The record is from RNAcentral.